AUGAAGGAGAAAUAUCGCGGCAAGGAUCAAAUCCAUACUGCCAGUGGAGAAGGUAUGAGUAUACGUCACUUUGGUCACUCAAUAUUUCGUACCCCUCAUCGUAAUAUUCAUCUUAGAAAAAUUCUGCAUGUUCCUAGUGCCAACAAGAGUCUUCUUUCUGUCCAUCGAAUUGCCCUUGAUAAUCAUGUAUUUCUUGAAUUUCACCCUUACUUCUUUUUGAUCAAGGAUCAGGCAACGAGGACGGUUCUCUAUCGAGGUAGAUGCGUCUGUGGCCUCUAUCCGUUGAUUCCGGAGUUUCGAAGACCAAAUAAAUAUGCUUGUGGUGCUAUCAAGCUUUCGUCCACACGAUGGCAUAAUCGUUUAGGACAUGCAUCUUUUUCUUUAGUUGAAAAAUUACUUAGGAAAAAUAAUCUCCCGUUUGUUGGUGAGCGUCAUAAUGAGACAAUUUGUGAUUCAUGUCAGAAAGCUAAAAGUCAUCAGUUUCCUUACCCUAUUUCUAGCAGUGUUUCUACCAAACCACUACAAUUGAUCUUUUCUGAUGUUUGGGGUCCUGCCCCUACUUCUGUUGGCAGACACAUUUAUUAUGUUAGCUUCAUCGAUGAUUUUAGCAAAUUUUCUUGGAUCUAUCUUUUAAAGAAACGGUCUGAUGUGUUUCAAGUGUUCAAAAACUUUCAAGCUCUUGUUGAGCGAAAAUUUGACAGCAAAAUCAUCGCUGUCCAGUCAGACUGGGGAGGGGAGUACGAAAAGUUAAACUCCUUCUUCCAAACACUUGGUGUCUCACAUCAAGUGUCAUGUCCUCAUGCUCACCAGCAAAAUGGGUCAGCAGAACGCAAGCAUCGACAUAUUGUCGAGGUUGGCCUUGCCCUUCUAGCCGGCGCAUCCAUGCCUCUAAAAUUCUGGGAUGAAGCGUUUUUAAUCGCAGUCCAUAUCAUCAACAUGAUCCCUAGUCGUGUUAUUCAUAAUGAAACUCCGAUAGAAAGACCUCUCCACACCAAACUAGACUAUAAGUCCCUUCGUGUAUUUGGGUGUGCAUGUUGGCCUAACCUUCGUCCCUACAACAACCGCAAGCUCAUGUUUCGAUCAAAACAGUGCGUAUUUCUUGGUUAUAGCGCACAACACAAAGGUGUCAAGUGCUUAGAUGUUUCCACCGGGCGAGUGUACAUCUCCCGUGAUGUCGUUUUUGAUGAAACCAAGUUUCCAUUCACCGAUCUUCACCCAAACUCCGGUGCACUACUUCGAGAAGAAAUUCUCCUCCUACCCCCCAUCUCACUAGUUUUGACAAAGGGGGACUAA
Molecule: ribosomal RNA, 1293 nt
Filed under: Triticum aestivum (bread wheat)
Lineage: Eukaryota; Viridiplantae; Streptophyta; Magnoliopsida; Poales; Poaceae
Description: partial small subunit ribosomal RNA
Source: RNAcentral